Eriocheir sinensis (Chinese mitten crab) is the source of this 874-nucleotide long non-coding RNA. RefSeq lists it as uncharacterized. The transcript has 3 exons. The record is from RefSeq and is a predicted model, not a curated record. Lineage: Eukaryota; Metazoa; Arthropoda; Malacostraca; Decapoda; Varunidae.
GUGGAGGAGGAGGAGGUGGAGGAGGGGGUCACGUGAUGGGCCGAGAAAGUCCGAGGGAAGAAAUGAUGAAAAAAAAAAUAAAGAGAAAAAUGAUGAAAAUGUUGAGAGUAAAAGCUGAAAAUAUGAGGUCAAGUUAGGUCAGGUCAGGUCAUGUUGAGAGAGAGUACAGGCAUUGAUUUAAAUGAGAGAAGAACUUAGAGAAACGUUGAAAAAUGCUGGAAAUCAAGAGAAAUGAUGGAAAAAAAAUGAGAAAAAUCCUGAAAAUGUUGAGUAAAAGCCGAAAAUGUCCAUAAAUGUUGCGAGAGUACGAGUUUUGAUUUAAAUGAGGAAAGAAUUUAAAGAAACGUUGAAAAAAAUGCCAGAAAUUAAGAAACGGGAAAAAAAACUGAGUUAGUCAAGAAUGCAUUUAGACAACACAAGCUAUAUUUCAGCCUCCCUACAACACACACAACACACAACACAACACACAGAAGCGAUGGUAGGUUAGGAGAGAAGGAGGAGGAGGAGGAGGAGGAAGAGGGGAAGGAAGAGAAAUGGAAGGUUAAGGAAGGAGGAGGAGGAGGGAGAGGAAGAAAUAGGAGGAGGAGGAGGAGGAGGAGGGGAAGGAAGAGAAAUGGAAAGUUAAGGAAGGAGGAGGAGGAGGGAGAGGAAGAAAUAGGAGGAGGAGGAGGAGGGGAAGGAAGAGAAAUGGAAAGUUAAGGAAGGAGGAGGAGGAGGGAGAGGAAGAAAUAGGAGGAGGAGGAGGAAGAGGAAAGAUAGGAGGAAGAGAAAGAAUGUUGACAAAAAACUUGAAAAAAAUAGUUAAAAUUAUGGAAAUACUGACUUAACUAUAGAACACAUCACUACAACACACACAACACAACAGCUCAACACA